RNAcentral lists this ribosomal RNA (256 nucleotides) under uncultured bacterium. RNAcentral's name for it is "partial 16S ribosomal RNA". It matches the Rfam family "Bacterial small subunit ribosomal RNA", at positions 524 to 776 of the family's 1533-position model. The record is from RNAcentral.
UACAGAGGCUCCAAGCGUUAUCCGGAAUCACUGGGCGUAAAGGGUGUGUAGGCGGCUUUGUUAGUCUUUCGUGAAAGGUCUUGGGCUUAACCCAGGAACCGCGGAGGAAACGGCAAGGCUAUUGAGGAUGCGAGAGGUAGAGGGAACUCAUGGUGUAGGGGUGAAAUCCGUUGAUAUCAUGGGGAACACCAAAUGCGAAGGCACUCUACUGGCGCAUUCCUGACGCUGAGACACGAAAGCGUGGGUAGCGAACGGG